RNAcentral lists this microRNA precursor (103 nucleotides) under Marmota monax (woodchuck). The record is from RNAcentral. Lineage: Eukaryota; Metazoa; Chordata; Mammalia; Rodentia; Sciuridae.
AGUGGGAUAGCUGGGUCAAAAGGUAGUUCCAUUCCAAGUUUUCGAAGGAAUCUCCAUACUGUUUUCCAUAUUGGCUGCACAUAUUUGCAGUCCCACCAGCAAU